GUGUCAUUAAAUAUUGCUGCCGCAGGGGUGGGUGGCACACGAGGGCUAGGACAAGGCAGCAGCUUUAUUCGGAAAGUCUGGCAGUCCUCUGACAAAGGCUCCUGAUCUGAAAGGAAGUGGUGUCACCAAAGGGCAGAUCUGCAGUUUUCUUCAACGAGCUAGGAGGGAAAUGGGGACGAAACUCAUCGUAUCUGUCCCCAGAAGAGCCAAACGUGCAUUGAAGCCGGUGCUGCAGAGACAGAAUUGGAGAAGGGACCAAUGAAUUCAAGACUCUUGGUGCCACCAUACAUGCCCAGAAAGAUCAUCACCUGUCAAAUAUAGACUAAGACACAAGAGAGGAAGACUGAGCACUUUAGUGUCUAAGCUCCUGUUAUAACAGGCUCUAUCCACCACUGCAUGCUGGAGUGAACAACAUAACAGUGAGAGAGAGAACUGCUACCUACCGUGCAGGUAAGAGGGAAUAGGAUGAGAUGCACAAGAAAACAGGUCUCUUUUGUGGAUAUCACAGUCUGUCCUUACGUUAUCAUUGAGGGGGAGGGAGGCAGGAAAGUCGGACAGAUGCAGAGAUGGGGUAGAAAUGGUAGUGGGAACCUGAGGGGAGAAGAUAUGAACCAUUGUCUUGGAGAGAAGGAAAG
Molecule: long non-coding RNA, 635 nt
Filed under: Equus asinus (donkey)
Lineage: Eukaryota; Metazoa; Chordata; Mammalia; Perissodactyla; Equidae
Description: lncRNA (ENSEASG00005031494.1)
Source: RNAcentral